GAUGAACGCUAGCGGGAGGCUUAAUACAUGCAAGUCGCGGGGUAACGAUGGACUUCGGUUCAGGCGACGACCGGCGCACGGGUGAGUAACGCGUACACGACCUACCUUAUACUGAGGGAUAGCCCUGGGAAACUGGGAUUAAUACCUCAUGGUAUUAGAUUAUUGCGAUGAUCUAAUUAAAGGUUUCGACUGGUAUAAGAUGGGUGUGCGUUAGAUUAGCUAGUUGGUAAGGUAACGGCUUACCAAGGCGACGAUCUAUAGGGGGCGUGAGAGCGUGGACCCCCACACGGGUACUGAGACACGGACCCGACUCCUACGGGAGGCAGCAGUAAGGAAUAUUGGACAAUGGGGGCAACCCUGAUCCAGCCAUCCCGCGUGCAGGAAGACGGCCCUAUGGGUUGUAAACUGCUUUUAGAAGGGAAGAAAAUUAUUCAUUUAUGAGUAACUGACGGUACCUUCAGAAUAAGCACCGGCUAACUCCGUG
RNAcentral lists this ribosomal RNA (484 nucleotides) under uncultured bacterium. Its description in RNAcentral is "bacterial SSU rRNA". It matches the Rfam family "Bacterial small subunit ribosomal RNA", at positions 28 to 507 of the family's 1533-position model. The record is from RNAcentral.